Molecule: transfer RNA, 72 nt
Filed under: Caerostris darwini
Lineage: Eukaryota; Metazoa; Arthropoda; Arachnida; Araneae; Araneidae
Description: tRNA-Gly
Rfam family: tRNA
About the family: Transfer RNA (tRNA) molecules are approximately 80 nucleotides in length. Their secondary structure includes four short double-helical elements and three loops (D, anti-codon, and T loops).
Source: RNAcentral
UCCCGUGUGGUCUAGUGGUUUAGAUUCCUGGCUGCCACCCAGACGGCCUGGGUUCGAUUCCCGGCGUGGGAA